This 117-nucleotide non-coding RNA is filed under the name Pan paniscus (pygmy chimpanzee). Lineage: Eukaryota; Metazoa; Chordata; Mammalia; Primates; Hominidae. RNAcentral also lists the same sequence under 1 other name. The record is from Rfam by way of RNAcentral.
GCCGGGCGUGGUGGCUCAUGCCUGUAAUCCCAGCACUUUGGGAGGCCGAGGCGGGUGGAUCACCUGAGGCCAGGAGUUCAAGACCAGCCUGGCCAACAUGGUGAAACCCCAUCUCUA